UUGAAUCAGUUAUUAACUAUCACAACAUAAGAUUAACCACCACAGGCUAGGAUUUUGCCUCCUCAGCUAUCUUCAGUGACAUGAGUCUCUAGCAGAAAACUUACGACUGGCCAUUGGAUUUUGCUUCCUAGUGCUUCAAGUUGUGAGGUAGGCUAGGACACUGAGAGACCUUCUGAGGGUACUGACCAUGUUAUAUUCAUCUCUAUCUUUUCCAAGGCAUUUGUCAUCUAAUAAAGGUUUGUUCUUGGCCAUAUUCAUUCAUUUCUCUGUGUUUUGUUCAAAUGCCAUUUCCCUUUCCUGUAUCACCUAUGUACAUCUACCUUUGCUUCAAGGCCUCGUGUGUCUCAUCACCUCUGUGAAACCCUCCAAUUGUCCUUUGUGAGCCACUUGAAAUGUACUCAGCAUGCCUCCACAACCAGGUCUAG
RNAcentral lists this long non-coding RNA (425 nucleotides) under Pan troglodytes (chimpanzee). Its description in RNAcentral is "long non-coding RNA NONPTRT014192". The record is from RNAcentral. Lineage: Eukaryota; Metazoa; Chordata; Mammalia; Primates; Hominidae.